CUGCAGAUAAAGUUGAUAGGGGAACUGCAAAAAUUUAUCACCUGCUAGUAUGGUGCUGAUAGUUUUCCAAUCAAGAGGUACUAGCCCAAACUCGUUGCUUAUUACGGUUUGACUGUUAGUCAUCCAUAGUAAGCUCACUUAGCUCUGUUAUGUUAGAUGACAUUUCUUGCUAAUAGUAAAAAACAAAAUGCAAUAUGGAAUAUAAAGCCAGGAGCUUCAAACAGUAUAACAGGUUUUCUAGACCUCCUUGAACUAUAUAUCAAGCUUAGAUAAUGAUAAAGUUCAUACUAAGAUGGGUUAUUAUCACAUAUCACUAGUAAAGGUUACAUUACUUGCGCACCCUCCAUUGCACUUUCUUCUAUCCUUCACGUUCCUGAUUUUUCUAGUAAGCUGUUCUCUGUAAGUGCAAUCAACAAUACCUCAAUUGCAAAGUUGCCUUUAUCUUAUUUAGUAUGUUGUUUCAGGAACUGAGGAGAAAUAAUUGGCUUUUUUACAUUGCAAGACGAGCUUUAUGUGUUUGUGGAGAGUAACAGUUCUUUGGUUCCUUCUAGAACUCCAGCAAUUGGUAGGUGUGCAUGUAUCUGGUAAUCAACAAUCUAUACAGUUGCAUAGGAGGUUAGGUCAUUCAUCUUUUUUUUCUUCUUUUGUUAGUUUGUUUAAGAAGUGCAAUUCAGAAUAGUAGUUCUUUUAUGUGCGUUAAUAUGCAAAACAAAAAGAACUACUUAUUCUUUAAUCAAAAAGAAACUUCUUGUUCUUUUUUAACUAUUCAUUCUAUUCUGUAGUGCAUUAAUU
This 792-nucleotide long non-coding RNA is filed under the name Carica papaya (papaya). RNAcentral's name for it is "long non-coding RNA (CPAP_LNC008106)". Lineage: Eukaryota; Viridiplantae; Streptophyta; Magnoliopsida; Brassicales; Caricaceae. The record is from RNAcentral.